Molecule: ribosomal RNA, 253 nt
Filed under: uncultured bacterium
Lineage: Bacteria
Description: partial 16S ribosomal RNA
Rfam family: Bacterial small subunit ribosomal RNA
Source: RNAcentral
UACGUAGGGUGCAAGCGUUGUCCGGAAUUAUUGGGCGUAAAGAGCUCGUAGGCGGUUUGUCGCGUCGGGAGUGAAAUCCACUGGCUUAACUGGUGGCUUGCUUUCGAUACGGGCAGACUGGAGGUAUGCAGGGGAGAACGGAAUUCCUGGUGUAGCGGUGAAAUGCGCAGAUAUCGGGAGGAACACCGGUGGCGAAGGCGGUUCUCUGGGCCUUACCUGACGCUGAGGAGCGAAAGCGUGGGGAGCGAACAGG